UGGGGAAUAUUGCACAAUGGGCGCAAGCCUGAUGCAGCAACGCCGCGUGAACGAUGAAGGCAUUCGGAUCGUAAAGUUCUGUUGCAGGGGAAGAUAAUGACGGUACCAUGGGAAGAAGCCUCGGCCAACUACGUGCCAGCAGCCGCGGUAAUACGUAUGGGGCGAGCGUUGUCCGGAAUUAUUGGGCGUAAAGGGUACGUAGGCGGUCUAUUAAGUCAGGUGUGAAAGCGUGAGGCUUAACCUCAUUAAGCACUUGAAACUGAUAGACUUGAGUGAAGGAGAGGAAAGUGGAAUUCCUAGUGUGGCGGUUAAAUGCGUAGAUAUUAGGAGGAAUACCGGUGGCGAAGGCGACUUUCUGUACUUUUACUGACGCUCAGGUACGAAAGCGUGGGGAGCAAGCAGG
Molecule: ribosomal RNA, 403 nt
Filed under: Verrucomicrobiota bacterium
Lineage: Bacteria; Pseudomonadati; Verrucomicrobiota
Description: Verrucomicrobia bacterium partial 16S ribosomal RNA
Rfam family: Bacterial small subunit ribosomal RNA
Source: RNAcentral